Molecule: ribosomal RNA, 425 nt
Filed under: uncultured bacterium
Lineage: Bacteria
Description: partial 16S ribosomal RNA
Rfam family: Bacterial small subunit ribosomal RNA
Source: RNAcentral
GUGGGGAAUCUUAGACAAUGGGGGAAACCCUGAUCUAGCCAUGCCGCGUGAGCGAUGAAGGCCUUAGGGUUGUAAAGCUCUUUCGUGGGGGAAGAUAAUGACUGUACCCCAAGAAGAAGCCCCGGCUAACUCCGUGCCAGCAGCCGCGGUAAUACGGAGGGGGCUAGCGUUGUUCGGAAUUACUGGGCGUACAGCGCACGUAGGCGGACUGGAAAGUCAGGGGUGAAAUCCCGGGGCUCAACCCCGGAACUGCCUUUGAAAGUCCCAGUCUUGAGUUCGAGAGAGGUGAGUGGAAUUCCGAGUGUAGAGGUGAAAUUCGUAGAUAUUCGGAGGAACACCAGUGGCGAAGGCGGCUCACUGGCUCGAUACUGACGCUGAGGUGCGAAAGCGUGGGGAGCAAACAGGAUUAGAUACCCGGGUAGUCC